AUCCUGGCUCAGAUUGAACGCUGGCGGCAGGCCUAACACAUGCAAGUCGAAUGGUAACAGGAAACAGCUUGCUGUUUCGCUGACGAGUGGCGGACGGGUGAGUAAUGUCUGGGAAACUGCCUGAUGGAGGGGGAUAACUACUGGAAACGGUAGCUAAUACCGCAUAACGUCGCAAGACCAAAAGAGGGGGGACCUUCGGGGCCUCUUGCCAUCAGAUGUGCCCAGAUGGGAUUAGCUAGUAGGUGGGGUAACGGCUCACCUAGGCGACGAUCCCUAGCUGGUCUGAGAGGAUGACCAGCCACACUGGAACUGAGACACGGUCCAGACUCCUACGGGAGGCAGCAGUGGGGAAUAUUGCACAAUGGGCGCAAGCCUGAUGCAGCCAUGCCGCGUGUAUGAAGAAGGCCUUCGGGUUGUAAAGUACUUUCAGCGGGGAGGAAGGGAGUAAAGUUAAUACCUUUGCUCAUUGACGUUACCCGCAGAAGAAGCACCGGCUAACUCCGUG
This 505-nucleotide ribosomal RNA is filed under the name uncultured bacterium. RNAcentral's name for it is "bacterial SSU rRNA". It matches the Rfam family "Bacterial small subunit ribosomal RNA", at positions 16 to 507 of the family's 1533-position model. The record is from RNAcentral.